This 543-nucleotide long non-coding RNA is filed under the name Sus scrofa (pig). RNAcentral's name for it is "lncRNA (ENSSSCG00040064979.1)". Lineage: Eukaryota; Metazoa; Chordata; Mammalia; Artiodactyla; Suidae. The record is from RNAcentral.
CAAAAUAAUGACGAAUAGAGGAAUACGUCAUUUCUUCUCACUCCAAGCUGCUACCUUCUGCAACACCUCUGGCAAAAAUGGAAACAACACCCACAACCAGGACAGCAGCACCAGCAGUAAGAGGGAACAGUUGGCUAUGGUCUGGUGGACUUUUCAGUGCAGAUGUAUUAGCUGUAGAUGGAUUGGCUGAAUUAUCAACUCCAGAGGUCUCCUGGGGGGGAAGAUCUGAUUCCGUUGCUGAGCAACACCUCUAGAAACAUGGAGUAUUCAAAAAAAAAGUCCGUAGUUUAGCUGAAAGACAGGCUUAAACACUGUGAUGCGAUGGAAGUGUUGGAGGGACAGCACCGAUGAUUCACAUACCAGAUCUAUUUUACAGGGCCAUAACAUUUUGAAAGGAAGCCUACACAUGACUCAUUGAGAAAGAACAGCAGACUAACCAGAUCAACUCCUAUAGUCCAUGGCACAUCAGAACUCACUUGACCUCAGAUGACAGUAUUCAACAGGAAACUGAUUUUCCUACUCAAGUAGGAUGGCUAACAUGAA